Molecule: ribosomal RNA, 393 nt
Filed under: uncultured Lactobacillus sp.
Lineage: Bacteria; Bacillati; Bacillota; Bacilli; Lactobacillales; Lactobacillaceae
Description: bacterial SSU rRNA
Rfam family: Bacterial small subunit ribosomal RNA
Source: RNAcentral
CCUCUUAGCAGAGGAUAACAUCUGGAAACAGGUGCUAAUACCGCAUAACAACAUUUAUCGCAUGAUAGAUGUUUGAAAGAUGGUUUCGGCUAUCACUUUUGGAUGGACCUGCGGCGUAUUAGUUAGUUGGUGAGGUAACGGCUCACCAAGACGAUGAUACGUAGCCGAACUGAGAGGUUGAUCGGCCACACUGGGACUGAGACACGGCCCAGACUCCUACGGGAGGCAGCAGUAGGGAAUCUUCCACAAUGGACGAAAGUCUGAUGGAGCAACGCCGCGUGAGUGAAGAAGGUUUUCGGAUCGUAAAACUCUGUUGUUGGAGAAGAAUGUAUCUGAUAGUAACUGAUCAGGUAGUGACGGUAUCCAACCAGAAAGCCACGGCUAACUACGUGC